CCUCCCCGAGCCCCGCUGCCUCCCGCCUCCCUCCUCCCCGGCGCCCGCCUCCCCGCGGCGUGCCCGCCUCCCUCCCUCCGUCCCCCGGCCGGCAGCCGGGCAGCGGGCGGGCGCUGCCGCCGGCCCCACAGCACCGCGGCCGGGCUGCGCGGAGCGGAGCGGAGCGGAGCGGGGCUGGCUGGGCGGGGAGGGAGGGAGGGAGGGGAGUGGAUGUGUGUGUGUGUGGAAAGAGCGGGGGGGGGCGAAGGGGGGGAAAUCAAAUAAAUAAAUAAGCUCCCCACCAAUAAGAGAGGCAGCGGCUGGCGAGCAGGCUGGGCUCGGCUGGGAGAGGUCCUCGCUCGGCUGCGUGUUUGUUUGUGUUGUGACCAGAGCCGCGAAGUUCAGAGCCCAAACGUGUUGCUCCGCUCCGCUCCACCUGCUCGGCCGGCGGGGGGGUGCCGCUUCGGCCGCCCCGCCGCCCUCCGGGGCCGAAGGACGGGAGAGGAGCGCGGGGCCGCGCCCGCCGCCCGCCCGCCUUCCCCUCAGCCACCGCCGGGGAGGCGACGGACAGGAACCCAGAUGUCAGAUUUUUAACAGAGCUGUGUAUUAUGGUCAUUGGAGAAAAGCCUGAAGAAGACAGGCUGUGCAUCCAGUCUUGAUAGACUCGGCAAUUAGAAAAAAAAAGUCUCGAGCAAGUGAGCUAAAAGCUUAGCUGUGGUGGGAUCCAAG
This 708-nucleotide long non-coding RNA is filed under the name Anser brachyrhynchus (Pink-footed goose). Its description in RNAcentral is "lncRNA (ENSABRG00000001046.1)". Lineage: Eukaryota; Metazoa; Chordata; Aves; Anseriformes; Anatidae. The record is from RNAcentral.